Molecule: long non-coding RNA, 1485 nt
Organism: Ictalurus punctatus (channel catfish)
Lineage: Eukaryota; Metazoa; Chordata; Actinopteri; Siluriformes; Ictaluridae
Source: Ensembl
UAUAUAUAUAUAGGUGUGUGUGUGUGUGUAUAGUAUAUGUUUAAUAAUUAUUUGUGCAUAAUCGUUUAAGUUAUAUCUGUUUGGACAUUGACUGAACCAGUGUUGAAAUCAUUGUAUUAGCUGGAUGUCUUCAUAAACAAUCUUAGACUAGGUGACAUAGGACCAGAUUUCCAUUGUGUGUGUUUAUUUUAGUCAUGUAUGGGUGAUACUGAAACUGAUCAUACACUGUUAUGCUCAGAAUUUGUUUUAGCUUAUAUUAUUAUUAAUAGAAGCAUUUUAUCUUUACAUUUAAGAUUUGAUUUGAGUUUUUGUGGGGCAGAAGGAUUACAGUAGUGUGACUGUAACUUUGCCUUUGUGCCCCAAGCCAGUAUCUGCUUUGAGUCAUAUAAAUACUGGUUCACUGGGGCAUUCUGGGAAACUUGUAUUUCAACCUGUCUUUUCUUUCUGUGCCACUGGUUCCAGCACCAUCCACAUCUAUCAUGAUUUGUGUUUUGUCAACGAGUUGACACUUGUUUACGUUUGCUGUUUUAAUUCCUGAGUGCAAUGUACACUUGUGCUCACGUACAAAACGAAUGCCCUACAGAAACGACGGCACGUUUAAAGAUCAUUCCUUACGAUUAAUCAUCUUUCCUCAAAGCUACAGUCUUAAACCAUAUGGUCUGGUUCCCUGUACACACAUUAUGCCUUAUUCAAAGAAAAACAUUUUUUAAUGAAACAACAAGUGACACAAGUCUGGAAACUAAGAUAAAUGUAUCAUUGUCUCAUGAUUAAAAAACGGAUUAUUUCACAUUUAGCUUGAGAGAGAGGCACAUUCUCUUGUUUAAUCUGCCAACCACAGAUAUGAUGGAACUGAAACCACUAAUGAUACCACAUUGAGAUCAGUCAGAACCUGUCCAGUUGUAAAUUAUGUAAAAUACUGAAUUGUUUGAUGGUCUCAUGAUGAAAAUGAAGUCUAUUACAGAGCUGGGUUUUAUUUUAUCCCUGGUUUGAGCUGUAUAAAGCAAGCCUAAACAGAUACAUGAAAGUUAACUUGAACAUUAAGGGAUGAUGAUGAUGAUGAUUUUCACAGACAAUUUCCCCCCACUAUUUCGACUUUGUCUUGGACUAAAUGCUGUUAAUGAGGAUUUCUAACAAGAAGCGUUGUUCAUGUACAGUGGUAUCAGGGCUUAAUGUGUGUCUGGAUAAAACAGGCUCCUAAAAUGUAUUAUUAAUAUUGUGUUACAAUGUUGAAUGUCAUUUCCAAAUUUUAUCCUUAUGCUUUAACUGUGCUAAAGGGCUCCAGUUGUGAAGAAUCCAUUAGUUUUUGAGAUUUAGAGAUCACAUUUUUGUGUUCGGACAGACAGGCAGCCUCUCUGUGUAAUGGCCAUUGUUUAGAGGCACAGACAAACACUUUUUAUUCCUUCAACCCAGAAGGGUAGCUCAAGUUUGGACCCUUUUUUAAUGUAAAAUAAUAAUAAUAAAAAAAAAUCUCUCUCUUACCCUUCA